Molecule: ribosomal RNA, 329 nt
Filed under: Enterococcus faecalis
Lineage: Bacteria; Bacillati; Bacillota; Bacilli; Lactobacillales; Enterococcaceae
Description: bacterial LSU rRNA
Rfam family: Bacterial large subunit ribosomal RNA
Source: RNAcentral
GUAAGUAAGCUAUGAUCCAGAGAUUUCCGAAUGGGGGAACCCAAUAUCUUUUAUAGGAUAUUACUUUUCAGUGAAUACAUAGCUGAUUAGAGGUAGACGCAGAGAACUGAAACAUCUUAGUACCUGCAGGAAGAGAAAGAAAAUUCGAUUCCCUGAGUAGCGGCGAGCGAAACGGGAAGAGCCCAAACCAACAAGCUUGCUUGUUGGGGUUGUAGGACUCCAAUAUGGUAGUCUGUUAGUAUAGUUGAAGGAUUUGGAAAAUUCCGCUAAAGAGGGUGAAAGCCCCGUAGACGAAAUGCUGACAACACCUAGGAGGAUCCUGAGUACGG